This 253-nucleotide ribosomal RNA is filed under the name uncultured bacterium. Its description in RNAcentral is "partial 16S ribosomal RNA". It matches the Rfam family "Bacterial small subunit ribosomal RNA", at positions 524 to 776 of the family's 1533-position model. The record is from RNAcentral.
GACAGAGGUGCCGAGCGUUAGGCGGAAUCACUGGGCUUAAAGCGUGUGUAGGCGGAUCCGUAAGUACCUUGUGAAAUCCCACGGCUCAACCGUGGAACUGCUUGGUAUACUGCGGGUCUUGAGCUAUCUAGGGGCAACCGGAACAAACGGUGGAGCGGUGAAAUGCGUAGAUAUCAGGAGGAACACCUGUGGUGUAGACGGCUUACUGGACCAUGACUGACGCUGAGGUACGAAAGCGUGGGGAGCAAACAGG